UACGGAGGGUGCAAGCGUUAUCCGGAUUUAUUGGGUUUAAAGGGUGCGUAGGCGGUUAUAUAAGUCAGCGGUGAAAUUUUUCGGCUCAACCGGAAACAUGCCGUUGAUACUGUAUAGCUUGAAUAUGGUUGCUGUGAGUGGAAUGUGUAGUGUAGCGGUGAAAUGCUUAGAUAUUACACAGAAUAUCGAUUGCGAAGGCAACUCACAAAGCCAAUAUUGACGCUGAGGCACGAAAGUGUGGGGAUCAAACAGG
Molecule: ribosomal RNA, 253 nt
Filed under: uncultured bacterium
Lineage: Bacteria
Description: partial 16S ribosomal RNA
Rfam family: Bacterial small subunit ribosomal RNA
Source: RNAcentral